GGAAGGAUCAUUAACACUUCCAAUUAUCUAACCAUACCUGCAGCCUAUCUCCAUUCGGAGAUAGUUAUAACUACCUUCAAACUAUUGACUAAGUCAAUAAAAAUUACCAUUUUCAACGAUGGAUAUCUAGGUUCCCAUUACGAUGAAGAACGCAGCAAAGUGCGAUAAGCAAUGCGAAUUGCAGAAACCCGCGAGUCAUCAGAUCUUUGAAUGCAAUCGGCGCCAUGGGGCAACCCUUAGGCAUGUUUGUUUCAGUGUGCCCUACUAACUUAACCAACCUAAUGCCUGAGAAACAUCUCAGGUUAAGUCAGGUGCGGAACUCCGCAAUCCGAAGCAGUAGUCACACUUACGUGGACCUCUUUGGAUAUGGAUGAAGCACAGACUCAAACACAAGUUAAACACCUGAGGCAAGCAAGAGUACCCGCUAAACUUAAGCAUAUUACUCAGCGGAGGAAAAGAAACUAACAAAGAUUGCCUUAGUAACUGCGAGUGAAGAGGCAAGAGCUCAAAGUUAAAAUCGUGCGGCUCUGCUGUACGAAUUGUAACCUCAAGGGGGGGACAUAAGUCAAUCUAACGCAUAAGUUCCGAGGAUAAGGACGCCAGAGAGGGUGAAAGCCCCGUGUAUGGUGUUGGAUUGGCGAAACGAAACCUUCUUCAGAGUCGGGUUGUUUGGUAUUGCAGCCCUAAAUGGGAGAUAAACAUCUUCUAAAGCUAAAUAUGAAUGGGAAUCCGAUAGCGAACAAGUACUGCGAAGGAAAGAUGAGAAGAACUUUGGAAAGAGAGUUACAAGACUUGAAAUCGUUGAAAAGGAAGCGGUUAAGGUCCAUUAUUCGUUGAUCUUAAAGUCUUCAAGGUACUCUUAGUUUACACGUACAUCAAAGGCGUGUAGGCGAAAGUUGUAUUUUGAGGACGUUCGGAGCAGACGAAACACAAGAUGAAAUCGCUUGCUCUUAAUAGCGGUUGUGUUGGCAGCAAUGUCAUACAAUUAGUGAAAGAGCAAACGGUUUGAGGGGUCUUCGGACGAUCUUGUGACGAUGGCCUUAUCUGUCCCGUCUUGAAACACGGACCAAGGAGUCUACCAUAUAUGCGAGUGUGCUGGUGUUAAACCGAUACGCGAAAGGAAACUGUGGUAUGCCAAGCCGCAAGGCUGCAGCAUAGGCCGACACUGGGCUAUAGCCCGGAGAUUGAGCAAGAGCAUAUCUGUUAGGACCCGAAAGAUGGUGAACUAUGCCUGUGCAGGGAGAAGUCAGGGGAAACUCUGAUGGAGGCUCGUAGCGAUACUGACGUGCAAAUCGUUCGUCUAACAUGGGUAUAGGGGCGAAAGACCAAUCGAACUAUCUAGUAGCUGGUUCCUUC
This 1356-nucleotide unclassified non-coding RNA is filed under the name uncultured ciliate. Its description in RNAcentral is "sequence contains 18S rRNA gene, ITS1, 5.8S rRNA gene, ITS2, 28S rRNA gene". The stretch from base 398 to 1356 matches the Rfam family "Eukaryotic large subunit ribosomal RNA", at positions 1 to 961 of the family's 3401-position model. Lineage: Eukaryota; Ciliophora. The record is from RNAcentral.